CAGGGAGACAACACAAUGAUUUUGAUGCCUGAGUGCUUUUAUUCUUAGGCCGAAAUCCUGUCACCUUAGGUCGAUCGGUACCUCAGCUUUGAAGUCAAGGAUCAGCAGCAAUGUUGAUUGCUUGAUGGAGAUUUUCAGUUCCUAAACUUUGUCUAGGUCACACCCCAAAAGGGAUGAGACUCCUGGGCCAUUAGCUCAGGUGGUUAGAGCGCACCCCUGAUAAGGGUGAGGUCCCUGGUUCAAGUCCAGGAUGGCCCAUUCGGUGUUGGGGGUUUAGCUCAGUUGGUAGAGCGCCUGCUUUGCAAGCAGGAUGUCAGGAGUUCGAGUCUCCUAACCUCCACUGACCGAACUUGAUUCCCAUCUCCAAUUUUUUGGAGUUGAGCUCGAUUGGAGUGUGAUUUAGAUGUGUCCGCUGGAUGACCCCAGCUUCCUGUCAUUCCAAGUUUUAGGUUAAAGCCUUGAAUUUGGUUGAUAAGAUGCUGGGCUCGGAUCAAAUGAUCAAGCAAUUGAUGAUUUGAUUUGAAGUUCUAGCAGAACCUUGACAACUGCAUAGGUGAGUCUGAAAAAAACAAAGCAUCUUACAGAUGCAUUGUUUUGAAUCUGAUCUUCUGAAAGGAAGAUUGGAUCUAGAACAAUGAAAAUUCUUUUGAGCAAGAGCCGAGACUCUUGAGCGUUCUUUGAUUGGUGUCGAGCCAAUCAGAGUUUGAUCUUGUUUUUAGCAAUAAAAACUUGAGAAUCUGCUUUCAACGGUGGUAAGCGUUCAGGAGGUUAAUU
RNAcentral lists this transfer RNA (774 nucleotides) under uncultured cyanobacterium. RNAcentral's name for it is "partial 16S-23S ribosomal RNA intergenic spacer". The stretch from base 268 to 340 matches the Rfam family "tRNA". Lineage: Bacteria; Bacillati; Cyanobacteriota. The record is from RNAcentral.